Erpetoichthys calabaricus (reedfish) is the source of this 860-nucleotide long non-coding RNA. RefSeq lists it as uncharacterized. NCBI's taxonomy places the organism in Eukaryota, Metazoa, Chordata, Cladistia, Polypteriformes, Polypteridae. The transcript has 2 exons. The record is from RefSeq and is a predicted model, not a curated record.
GCAAAGUAAAAGAACGCCACCAACACCAGACAUGAAGGUCCAUACCCAACGACUGCCUUACGGACCGUUCAUGACAAGCCGAGAGAUGUGCCAGGUUUGCCCCGUGUAGUCACUGGAGUGCCAGGUUGAAGAAUCCACUAGUCAAAGAUCUGAAGUUGGACAUGCCUGAAGAGCUGGCAACGCGUCUUAAACCCGUGAGAUUUUCUGAUGCCUGUCUUUCUUGCCAUCCUAAAAGCCUCACUUCACUACUGUCAGUAAACAGUCCUACAGCUUUGUGGCAGGCAGGUAUCCUCUGAAACUCUCUACCCAGUGCUGGCACACAUUUCAUGAUGACUGACCUGAUUUUGGGUCAGAUUCACCCCUUCUGGCAAUUACAACAGUUGUUCCAAUAUCCCUAAAUGUGAGGUAUGCAUUGACGAAUCUUAAUAUUCUUGAAUUACCCACAUGCCUGUUGUUCACAUCAUAAAUAUCAAACAUUUUCAAUAUUUAUGGCAUUAAAUCCGGCAGUGUAGGGGGAAUACCAAGUUUUUUUUAUAUGUAACACAUCUUGACAUCAUGUGUGAACAACCGACAUAGCCAAUGAGAGAUGAGAGGAACAACGGAGCUAUACAUAGUGACAAAGAAGCAAGCCUACUUCUCCUGAAUGAGAUGAACUUCUCUUUUCAAUUUUAUUUUUUUCACUAUACAAUAAUGUACACACUACCACAGCAAUCCCCCAUAUUUAUUUAAAUGUCAUAUUUUUCUCCACAGAUCCCAGGCUGAGAUCUGAGAGAUCACAGGGUUCAGAGUGGACAUAGCCUUCUUGUAUGCACUCCAAUAACUGAAGGCAGACUAAAAUAAAAAGAAAUUGGUUCAAUUUG